AUACGGAGGGUGCAAGCGUUAAUCGGAAUUACUGGGCGUAAAGCGUACGUAGGCGGUGAGUUAAGUUAGAUGUGAAAGCCCCGGGCUCAACCUGGGAACUGCAUUUAAAACUGGCUCACUAGAGUUGAGUAGAGGGGAGUGGAAUUUCAGGUGUAGCGGUGAAAUGCGUAGAGAUCUGAAGGAACACCAGUGGCGAAGGCGACUCCCUGGACUCGAACUGACGCUGAGGUACGAAAGCGUGGGUAGCAAACGGGAUUAGAUACCCUAGUAGUCC
RNAcentral lists this ribosomal RNA (274 nucleotides) under uncultured bacterium. RNAcentral's name for it is "partial 16S ribosomal RNA". It matches the Rfam family "Bacterial small subunit ribosomal RNA", at positions 523 to 796 of the family's 1533-position model. The record is from RNAcentral.